UACGUAGGGCGCAAGCGUUAUCCGGAAUUAUUGGGCGUAAAGAGCUCGUAGGCGGUUUGUCGCGUCUGCCGUGAAAGUCCGGGGCUUAACUCCGGAUCUGCGGUGGGUACGGGCAGACUAGAGUGCAGUAGGGGAGACUGGAAUUCCUGGUGUAGCGGUGAAAUGCGCAGAUAUCAGGAGGAACACCAAUGGCGAAGGCAGGUCUCUGGGCUGUAACUGACGCUGAGGAGCGAAAGCAUGGGGAGCGAACAGG
This 253-nucleotide ribosomal RNA is filed under the name uncultured bacterium. Its description in RNAcentral is "partial 16S ribosomal RNA". It matches the Rfam family "Bacterial small subunit ribosomal RNA", at positions 524 to 776 of the family's 1533-position model. The record is from RNAcentral.